This 387-nucleotide unclassified non-coding RNA is filed under the name soil metagenome. RNAcentral describes it as "partial contains 5.8S ribosomal RNA, internal transcribed spacer 2, and large subunit ribosomal RNA". The stretch from base 1 to 120 matches the Rfam family "5.8S ribosomal RNA", at positions 35 to 154 of the family's 154-position model. The record is from RNAcentral.
GAUGAAGAACGUAGCGAAAUGCGAUAAGUAAUGUGAAUUGCAGAAUUCAGUGAAUCAUCGAAUCUUUGAACGCACCUUGCGCUCCUUGGUAUUCCGAGGAGCAUGCCUGUUUGAGUGUCAUGAAAUUCUCAACCUUUUCAGCUUUCUUUGUUGAUCAGGCUUGGAUGUGGGAGUAUGCGGGCUUCUCAGAAGUCGGCUCUCCUGAAAUGCAUUAGCGGGACCUUUGUUGCCUGGCUUUGGUGUGAUAAUUAUCUCCGCCAUUGUAGUCAAGCAGCUUAAAAUGAGGUUUCAGCUUCUAACCGUCUCCCCUGAGACAACUUUUUGACAAUUUGACCUCAAAUCAGGUAGGACUACCCGCUGAACUUAAGCAUAUCAAUAAGCGGAGGA